GUGCGCCGAGGCGGCUGUGACACCAUGGUUUCCAGAGUGGUGCUCCUGGUCUACUCAUCCAACACCCAAGUACAGCCUGGUCUGCUGCUCUCUUCCGAUAGAAAGUCUCAAGCAACUUGCAGGCAAAAGAAGAGGAGGGAGACGAUGUAACUGGACCUGGAGGCCAGCUCUUCUGAAGAGGUGACCCUUAGGGACCAUCGCAUCAGCCUCAGUACCCUUGGCAGCUCUACAGAGGUAUUCCACCUUCACACAGAGGGGCAGGCUGGAGAGGGUGAGAGAAAUGACUCUCACAGCAGGACUGAAAUUCACAGCACUAAGGUGCUGGACCACCCAAACAUCAUCAAGCUGUCCCACAUCAUCGAAACCAGAGAACAUGCCUAUAUGGUGAUGAAACAUGCUGCCGAGGGAGAUCUGGUGAGCCAUAUUGAGGAGGUGGGCUGUCUGCAGGAAGAAGAGACCCACCGCAUCUUCACACAGAUGGUGUGUGAAGUUAACUACUGCCAUGAGAAUAGUAUUGCACAGAGUGACAUCAAACUACUGCCAAGAGAACAGUCUUGUACAUGGGGACAUCAAACCAGACAACAUUCUGAUGGAUGGCAAAGAGUCAGCCUUGGGCAGGAGUUCACAGGUGGUGGUAUAGUGAGACCUGAUAUCCUAUGCAUUAUGUGUGACAGGAGCGCAAGAACCCAAUCUGCUGCUGGGUGGAGAGCAGGGACAACUGGAACUGUCUCUGUAACACUUGUGCUCUAUCAGGCUUCAAACUUCUAGCUUGUGGCUCUUGAGAGGGAGGAGGGAGGCGGCAGGCAUCUCCUUUUCUCUCUUCAUUUGCUGUGACUCUAGACAUGGGCAAAGGGGAGCCUGGGAGGCGAGAGCUGCCGUGGCAUGAGUGUUCGGCCACAGCUGUGACCUGGCAAAUGACAUUCCACUGACCAGGUUGUUGGCUAGUAAUUGGCGAAGGCCCAGAGACUUAGACAAGCAAGAGUGUGUGUCUGGUGCAUGCUGGGAACAUAAUUUUAACAGUAGCAUUAUUUCCUAUAACCUGUAAGACUGCUUAUUAGUUCUGGUCACUUUAUUUACUUUUGGUUUGUUUAAUGAGGUUUCUGGGGUUUUCAACAUACAGACUCAUGCCCUCCAUGAAUGUAGCUUCUAUUUGCAGUCCCAGUGGGAUGAGCAACCAGCCUUCCUUCCUUCCUUCCUUCCCUCCUUCCUUCCUUCCCUCCCUCCCUCUCUUCCUCCUCUGCACUUACCCUCCCCUCCUCUUUCUUUUCUCUUGUUUGCUUCUCCUCCCUCCCUCUCCUGGACUGGAGAGCAUAGUUUUCACGCUCUCCCUUUAUGUCAGUGAGCUAAGUGCCCACACUCACUCCCAACACUGGGGAAGCUGACGUUCAGGAACGCUCACAUUCAAGGCCCACCUGGGUUACACUAAUAAAAGAACCCUUGUCAAAUACUUGUUCUUUUGUUAAGGUUGUCAGCCUUCCCCCUCAACAACAAUGUCUAGGUUGUUCAUGUUUAGAGUGCUUACUGAUGUGGUUAGCCUUGCAGUUCUUUCUGACAUUUUCUGUUUCAUCCCCCCUCUUCCUGCUUCCUUUAGUACUAUAUAACUAUUUUAUUAAGUCAUAUUAUUUGCUAGUUACUAGAUGCUCUAUUGAUGUACACAAACUAAUUUCGCAUUAAUAGUAACCUAGCAUUGAUAAAACAGAGAAAGUGUUCCAACACAGCUGUUAGCUUUACCUCCUCUGCGUUGUAAUGGCCAUUUUUGCCAUUUUUAUUACAUAGCUAUAAUGGAAACCCAUCGAUACAUUGUUUUAAUACUUUAUAUGACAACAAGCCCUCCUGAGUGUGUUCAUUUCUAUGCAGACUUUAUUACCUCUGUAUUUACCACUUAUAUGUUGGAAUUUGAUUUACCACCUGGUAUGAUUCACUUCCAUACUGAAAGAAUUUCUUUAGUUCUUAUUAUGAGACGGUCUUGCUAACCAUAAAUUCUUUAUUUGCUAGUGCUUUUAUGCUCACUUCUUGAUUGAAGGGUAAUUUGACUGUUUACAGAAUUCUUCUGCUAUGUUGAGUGUUGAGACUGUUUAGUAAAUUUUAAUGAACACAAUUACCUAGUUUUCAGCGGCAGAAUUUCUAAUUGGUUCUUAGAGUUUCUUUUAUUUUUCUGGCCUCGAUUUUACUAUUAUCAUUACUGUUGUUAUGUAGCAAUUUUUCUACAGUUAGAUAUUCUUCACCAAAAUGGCUGUUCUUGCUGACACCAGGUAACCUUCCCCUCUGCCCCAGUGCUAGGUUACAGACAUGUGUGGCUAUGUCAAGAGUUUUACAUGGGUGGUGGGGAUCCAAACUCAGGUCUUUUAAACAUACACAUUGGGUUCUCUUAUCCACUAA
Mesocricetus auratus (golden hamster) is the source of this 2379-nucleotide long non-coding RNA. RefSeq lists it as uncharacterized. The transcript has 3 exons. The record is from RefSeq and is a predicted model, not a curated record. Lineage: Eukaryota; Metazoa; Chordata; Mammalia; Rodentia; Cricetidae.